AACGAACGCUGGCGGCGUGGAUAAGACAUGCAAGUCGAGCGGGAACUUUCGCUGUAGCAAUACAGUGAAAGUUCUAGCGGCGAACGGGUGCGUAACACGUGGACAAUCUGCCUUAAAGUGGGGGAUAGCUCGGCGAAAGACCGAAUUAAUACCGCAUGUGAUGAGAGACGACAUCGUCUUGAAAUCAAAGCCGGGGCGACCUGGCGCUUUUUGUAGGAGUCCGCGGCCAUCAGCUUGUUGGUGAGGUAACGGCUCACCAAGGCUAUGACGGGUAGCUGGUCUGAGAGGACGGACCAGUCACACUGGAACUGAGACACGGUCCAGACACCUACGGGUGGCAGCAGUCGAGAAUUUUUCUUC
This 360-nucleotide ribosomal RNA is filed under the name uncultured bacterium. RNAcentral describes it as "bacterial SSU rRNA". It matches the Rfam family "Bacterial small subunit ribosomal RNA", at positions 29 to 370 of the family's 1533-position model. The record is from RNAcentral.